UCUGGUAAAACUAUCCCUUAUUCAUAUGAAAAUAUCCCACAUUAGGUUAGGUUGUUGGGUAUGAGUCCUUGCAUGUGACAGGCACACAUCUUUUCCUGUCUAUAAAAAAGGUCAUGAUCGCUGGUACAUGAUGCACCAUGAAAUAAUUAAGGUCACAAGAUCUGUCAGUUAAAAUGAGUGGGCAGGAAAAUAGCUUCUGAUCGGUUACACAGCACUGAAAGUCAUGACAAAUCAAUUUAGCUGUUCUAGUGUCCAAACUGCAUACAGAACUUCAAAAAUUGAUGAACGCAUUGCCAAGGUAUAGGCAACUAGCCGCAUUCGUGGAACAUUCAGGAGGAGAAUCCAUUUACCGCAUAGCAACAGGCCUUUAUAUCAGAUGUUGGCCUUGAUGCGUAGGCCUACUGGUUGAUGAUUGGUUGGUAAAUGCUGUAAAUUAGCUUCUAAAGUCUAUAUAAACUUCAUUCUUUUUACUCAGUUGAUACCCUUAGCAAUGACUCUAAACUUUACCCUCUUGGCAGACGUGUACGAUAUCUAAUUAACGUCAAACUGCUGCCGGAGACAGCUAAAUUGAAUAGCGGAGCCGCUGCAAGAUAUACCACCUGUGUCGCGAGAGGACCCAGCUUUUACCGCAGGCUAUCCUGCCCAUGAUCCUGCCCAAGGGUCUCUGUCCCUGUCUCUCCACCUAUGCUGGACACUUCUGAGCAAAGAGUUGAAGGAUGAGCUUCAUCUACACAACAGUUGGCGUUCAAACUACUCAAUGUGACACUGUACUCAACUAGCAUGCGUCACCUUUUUGAUGUAAAAAAGUAUGUAGGCCGUCUUCUCCCUGUCUUUGAGGACGGCCUCCUCAGAUCCCACCGUGACGGAGUGGUCACUGUAUUUGACCCACUGGCCUGGCUGUUCCUCACAGUCGGCUAUGUAGUGGCCUGCCAUCGUCCAAUCAUAAGGAACAGGGAGGGUCUCUGUCCCUGUCUCUCCACCUAUGCUGGACACUGCUGAGCAAAACGUUGAAGGAUGGGCUUCAUCUACACAACAGCCAGCGGUCAAACUACUCAAUGUGACACUGUACUCAACUAUCAUGUGACACAGAAUAAUCAGAGACAUGAAAUGCUUGUCAAAAGGUAUGAA
Molecule: long non-coding RNA, 1128 nt
Organism: Clupea harengus (Atlantic herring)
Lineage: Eukaryota; Metazoa; Chordata; Actinopteri; Clupeiformes; Clupeidae
Source: RefSeq, a predicted model, not a curated record